Bombyx mandarina (wild silkworm) is the source of this 839-nucleotide long non-coding RNA. The record is from RefSeq and is a predicted model, not a curated record. Lineage: Eukaryota; Metazoa; Arthropoda; Insecta; Lepidoptera; Bombycidae.
GCCUGAAAUGGGCAUUCCCCUUUGCAUUCUUGGUUUUUAGAACAACUGCAGCUGUUUGUAAAUAUUCAUGGUAAGGUGUCAGGGUCACUGAAGUAAGAAACCUAUCUAUGGUCAAGGUAAGGUCACAAAUCACCUGAUAUUUAAAUGUGUCUUGCCACACCGCCAUGAUCAUUGGGUCCAUUUUGAAGAACAAUAUUGUAUUCAGGUAUAUUGAAGGGACUGUUUUCUCUCAGCCAUGUUUCAUUUAAAAAUUCAAUAAUCAGGACAGUCCCGGGAGACGGCUAGAUGUCCCCCAACACAGUUAAUGCUUACUAAAAUGUCAGACACACACUCUUUGUAAUGGUGAACUCCUGCAUUAUAUAAACACAUUUGCUUACUGCGACAUACUUUAUCGAAAUGAUUAAAUUUGAAACAUUUGAACCACUGUAUUAGAGGUGAAAUAUAUGUCUGUACUUCGCAGCUAAACAAGUUGAGAUACAAAUAAGGGGGUAAUGUAGUUGUAGAAAAAGUUAUAGCGACAGAGCUCAUAGGUAUUAACUUCUUGUCUGCAUUUCUUUUCAUAAACCUCUUAACAGAUAUUAUUUCAGCAUCGCUACUAAUAUUUUUAUAGAUGUCUUCGUUGGAUAAGUCUGUAGGCACAAAUUUAAUCACACCCACCUUCUCUACUAAGUGGGCAGGUAUAAAGGCGCGAAAUUUGUGCUUGCUGAGAAAGUUGUCAAGUUUGUUAAAGCUAUUAGCAUCUGCAGCUUUUUGGAAAUUCACACCAAUUUUAUAUGCAUUAAUACGUGAAACACAUGUAAUGCUUUUGACAUUUUCAUUUAAUAAACCUGUUAAUUUUA